RNAcentral lists this ribosomal RNA (344 nucleotides) under uncultured bacterium. RNAcentral describes it as "bacterial SSU rRNA". It matches the Rfam family "Bacterial small subunit ribosomal RNA", at positions 449 to 793 of the family's 1533-position model. The record is from RNAcentral.
UAUGUUAAUAGCAUAUUCAUUUGACGUUAGCUGCAGAAGAAGCACCGGCUAACUCCGUGCCAGCAGCCGCGGUAAUACGGAGGGUGCGAGCGUUAAUCGGAAUUACUGGGCGUAAAGCGCAUGCAGGUGGUUUGUUAAGUCAGAUGUGAAAGCCCGGGGCUCAACCUCGGAAUUGCAUUUGAAACUGGCAAACUAGAGUACUGUAGAGGGGGUAGAAUUUCAGGUGUAGCGGUGAAAUGCGUAGAGAUCUGAAGGAAUACCGGUGGCGAAGGCGGCCCCCUGGACAGAUACUGACACUCAGAUGCGAAAGCGUGGGGAGCAAACAGGAUUAGAUACCCUGGUAG